Cebus imitator (Panamanian white-faced capuchin) is the source of this 1879-nucleotide long non-coding RNA. RefSeq lists it as uncharacterized. The record is from RefSeq and is a predicted model, not a curated record. NCBI's taxonomy places the organism in Eukaryota, Metazoa, Chordata, Mammalia, Primates, Cebidae. The transcript is spliced from 3 exons.
AGCAUCACUUUGUCUCCAUCAAGAACUGUUUGAAAACUACUGAAAAAUGUUGUAAAGAAUGGAACAGACACCAGCCAAUGGAAGGCAAAAUGGCUACAGGUACCCAGGUAACUAUAUUCCCAGAUCCCUGCAUUUUGGAGUGGCAAUACAACUGAGGGCAUUUCAUUUAUAGCAUCCUACAACUUUAGGAAAGAAGAAAAUCCUCUGAGGCAAUCAGAUAAAGAAGAUAAUAUAUUACUAAGUUAUGUAUUUUAACAUUGUUUGCUUGAGGCUUUGGAGUUAAAAAGAUUCUUUGCAUUGUAGAUUUGAUUUACUUUACCUCAUGGAAAUUUCUUUGAGUUUUUAAGUACUAUAUAAAAAUUAGUUGUAUGAAAAUUUAUUGCAAAAUUAUCUGAAUGUGUCACAAAUAAAUAUCUGUAUAUAUCUCUUUAGCUUUGGAUUUUUUCUAAGCAAAAUUUAUUUUUGAAAUAUCUAAUUAUGAGUUAUAAAGGGAAAUACCUUUAUUCAUUGAAUAAUCAGAUAAAUGUUACCAUACUCAAUAUAGAUAUUUUUGUUAGGCUGUGAUUGAUUUUGAACAUAUUAAAGAAGAAUAUUACUCUGGGCUGAUAAUUUACAACCCAAAUUCUGAAAAUUGAAGUAUUUAAUUUUUUUAAACUUUAGAAGUACAAUUCUGAAAUUGUUGUAUGUAUCAAUUUUUCCAUAAUGUAAAAGAAAAGCAUUUCAGAAAACUCAUAUUAUGAUGGUUUUGUAGAUAAUUUGCUUUCUUUUUGUCAUAUCCAUAUUAUCAAAAUGUAAACCUCAGGCACUCACUUCAGUAAAUGACAAUGUGCUGUCCCUCAGAGAAACUGAAUAAUAGCUUUACAAACCAGAACCUUACUAUAUUAGUCAAAAAUCAAUGCACAUUGCAGAGAGGAAUAAGGGAGACCUCAUGAACCAUAUAUCACAAAUUUCCACAGUGGGAACCGUAGCGACAUUGGAAGAUAUUGUGUUCAGAACCCUUAAUGAGAGUUGGCCUCAUUUUUAUGGCUAGCUGCAAAGUCUGUUACACUUAAUGGUGAUUUGCUCUAAACAAUGAUCUACAAAUGAAUGCCAGAUAUGCUAAUAAAUUUCUGUAUUAAAAGACUACUGACAAUUGGUUCAGAAAGGAGUUUUUUUCCUCCUUCCUAGGAAGUACUGACAUGGUAAUAUUAACACUUGAAAGUGUCAACUGCUUAAUGAAAUUUUGCCCUUAUAGAUUACCAAGCUUUCUUAAAUGUUAGAAGUUAUUUUUAGGAGAUAAUUUACUGCAAUUAGGGUUAUUUAUAUUGAUAUAUACAUUUAUUUGAGUUUUAAAAAUAUGUUACCAUGUAGAAGUGGCAUUGUGUAUGACUAUGAUGGCAAUCAAUAUUUGGAUAUACUAAUUUAUAAACAUUAACUACCUUUGUUCAAACUAAAAUAUAAUUAAAUAAGGGUUAUGUGAUGGAAUUAUUUGGUUUUAAAUAUUAAAUAAAGUGUGAAUAAAAAUUUUCCAUUAUCUUUUGAACUAUUUGUAACAUAACAAUCCUAAUAGGCUUCCCAAAGAACUUUGUGUUAAAAUACAAACCUAAUGGGCUCAUCGAAAGCCACAAAUAAAGGAGCUGUCAAGUAAAGUUGAUGAAAAAGAGAAAUGAUACAAAAGGCAGCCUCAGGUACAAUUAUGAAAAUGUCAAUAUAAAAAAUUAUUUCCCUUGAUGUGAUAUUAUUAGAGUGUGAUACUAAUUACUAAAACUAGGAUUAUAAAGAUUUAUUGACCUCUAGCAUGGUUUGCCAAGAAGUUUGUUACAAAUUAUGGUGUACUCCUUGUAGAAAAAUGUAUUUGGUGAUAGAUUUUUGAGGAUUUUCUAAUUUUUUCAUGUUGAAA